This 253-nucleotide ribosomal RNA is filed under the name uncultured bacterium. RNAcentral describes it as "partial 16S ribosomal RNA". It matches the Rfam family "Bacterial small subunit ribosomal RNA", at positions 524 to 776 of the family's 1533-position model. The record is from RNAcentral.
UACAGAGGGUGCAAACGUUGUUCGGAAUUACUGGGCGUAAAGCGCGUGUAGGCGGCCCUGCAAGUCGGGUGUGAAAUCCCAUGGCUCAACUAUGGAAGUGCACUCGAAACUGCAGGGCUAGAGUCCUGGAGAGGAAGGUGGAAUGCUUGGUGUAGAGGUGAAAUUCGUAGAUAUCAAGCGGAACACCGGUGGCGAAGGCGGCCUUCUGGACAGUGACUGACGCUGAGACGCGAAAGCGUGGGGAGCAAACAGG